AAAACAAAGAAAACAAGAAUGUGUCCUCAGUACACGAAUGCCCCACUCGCACUAUCAUUUUCCAUGUUCAGUGGACCGUGAAAUUGGGGUAAAAACUCUAAUUUUGCAUUAAAAUUAGAAAGAUCAUAUCAUAGGGGACAUGUGUACUAAGUUUGAAGUCGAUUGGACUUAAACUUCAUCAAAAACUACCAUGACCAAAAACUUUAACCUGAAGCGGGACAGACGGACGGACGGACGGACGAACGAACGGACAGACGGACGGACGGACGGACGGACGCACAGACCAGAAAACAUAAUGCCCCUCUUCUAUCGUAGGUGGGGCAUAAAAAAAG
This 332-nucleotide long non-coding RNA is filed under the name Mytilus galloprovincialis (Mediterranean mussel). The record is from RNAcentral. Lineage: Eukaryota; Metazoa; Mollusca; Bivalvia; Mytilida; Mytilidae.